This is a long non-coding RNA of Mycetomoellerius zeteki, 154 nucleotides long. RefSeq lists it as uncharacterized. NCBI's taxonomy places the organism in Eukaryota, Metazoa, Arthropoda, Insecta, Hymenoptera, Formicidae. The transcript has 3 exons. The record is from RefSeq and is a predicted model, not a curated record.
GCUUGAUUCCUGCCCCUUACUUCAUCAACCCGCGUGCAACCUAAAUGCCAAUCGGCACUUGGGCUGCGCGCGGGUUGGUGAAGUAAGGGGCAGGAACCAAGCUGAAAAUCGGCCGAAAUGUGCAAUUAAAUCCCAGCUCUGCAGAAAACUUCAG